RNAcentral lists this ribosomal RNA (256 nucleotides) under uncultured bacterium. RNAcentral's name for it is "partial 16S ribosomal RNA". It matches the Rfam family "Bacterial small subunit ribosomal RNA", at positions 524 to 777 of the family's 1533-position model. The record is from RNAcentral.
UACGAAGGGGGCUAGCGUUGCUCGGAAUCACUGGGCGUAAAGCGCACGUAGGCGGAUUGCUAAGUCAGGGGUGAAAUCCUGGAGCUCAACUCCAGAACUGCCCUUGAUACUGGCGGUCUCGAGUCCGGGAGAGGUGGAGUGGGAACUGCGAGUGUAGAGGUGAAAUUCGUAGAUAUUCGCAAGAACACCAGUGGCGAAGGCGGCUCACUGGCCCGGUACUGACGCUGAGGUGCGAAAGCGUGGGGAGCAAACAGGG